AUUAGGUUAGGGGCUAAGGUAAGGUUUAAGGUUUUUGGCGUGAGGGUUAAAAUCACUGUCCAAAACCUUUGUAGGAACUCUUUACCAUCCUUUUGGAGUUAGUUAGACCAAAAAAAAAAACGAAAAAUGAAAAAACAAUAUUUGGGGUUUUCAGGCUUCCUGAAGGUAAUAACCGGGUAUUAGGUUAUGGGGCUAGGGUAAGGUUAAAGGUUUUUGGAGUUAGAGUUAAAAUCAGUGUCCAAAACCUUUUUAGGAACAUGUUUAAGACCUUUUGGAGUUGGUUACACCAAAAAAAAAUGUAAAAUGAAAAAAAAAAAAUUGGGGUGUUCGGGCUUCCUGAAGGUAAUACCCGGGUAUUAGGUUUUGGGGAUAGGGUAAGGUUUAAGGUUUUUGGUGUAAGGGUUAAAAUCACUGUCCAAAACCUUUUAAGGAACAAGAUUCAGACCUUUUGGAGUUGGUUACACCAAAAAAAAUGUAAAAUGAAAAAAAUAUAUAUUUGGGGUGUUCGGGCUUCCUGAAGGUAAUACCCGGGUAUUAGGUAAUGGGGCUAGGGUAAGGUUUAAGGUUUUUGGCGUGAGGGUUAAAAUCACUGUCCAAAACCUUUGUAGGAAGUCUUUUCCAACCUUUUGGAGUUAGUUAGACAAAAAAAAAAAAAAGAUAAAAAUAUAAUUGGGGUGUUCGGGCUUCCUGAAGGUAAUACCCGGGUAUGGGGUUAUGGGGCUAGGGUAAGGUUUAAG
This is a non-coding RNA of Xyrichtys novacula (pearly razorfish), 737 nucleotides long. Lineage: Eukaryota; Metazoa; Chordata; Actinopteri; Labriformes; Labridae. The record is from the annotation of a GenBank genome assembly.